This 126-nucleotide small RNA is filed under the name Salmonella enterica. RNAcentral describes it as "RtT sRNA". It matches the Rfam family "RtT RNA". From Rfam's summary of the family: This family represents a bacterial cis-regulatory element known as RtT RNA. The record is from RNAcentral. Lineage: Bacteria; Pseudomonadati; Pseudomonadota; Gammaproteobacteria; Enterobacterales; Enterobacteriaceae.
GUUUGCACUUGUCGGGGAAGGGUGAGAACCUUCGAUUAAGGUUCGACUCGAGCGAAAGAACGUUGCCAACGGUAACGGCCCGCAGGGUGAGGAGUGAAGCGACGAAUAAUCCUUCCUCCACCACCA